AUUGAACGCUGGCGGCAUGCUUUACACAUGCAAGUCGAACGGUAACAGGCCUUCGGGUGCUGACGAGUGGCGAACGGGUGAGUAAUGCAUCGGAACGUGCCCAGAGGUGGGGGAUAAUGCAGCGAAAGCUGUGCUAAUACCGCAUGUGAUCUGAGGAUGAAAGCGGGGGACCAGGCAGCAAUGUUUGGCCUCGCGCCUUUGGAGCGGCCGAUGUCAGAUUAGGUAGUUGGUGGGGUAAAGGCCUACCAAGCCGACGAUCUGUAGCUGGUCUGAGAGGACGACCAGCCACACUGGGACUGAGACACGGCCCAGACUCCUACGGGAGGCAGCAGUGGGGAAUUUUGGACAAUGGGCGCAAGCCUGAUCCAGCAAUGCCGCGUGCGGGAAGAAGGCCUUCGGGUUGUAAACCGCUUUUGUACGGAACGAAAAGGCUCUGGCUAAUACCUGGGGCUGAUGACGGUACCGUAAGAAUAAGCACCGGCUAACUACGUG
This 492-nucleotide ribosomal RNA is filed under the name uncultured bacterium. RNAcentral describes it as "partial 16S ribosomal RNA". It matches the Rfam family "Bacterial small subunit ribosomal RNA", at positions 30 to 507 of the family's 1533-position model. The record is from RNAcentral.